This 275-nucleotide ribosomal RNA is filed under the name Ixodes ricinus (castor bean tick). Its description in RNAcentral is "partial large subunit ribosomal RNA". The record is from RNAcentral. Lineage: Eukaryota; Metazoa; Arthropoda; Arachnida; Ixodida; Ixodidae.
AAAAGCUUUCUUUAAUUGAAUAAUUGAAUUUAAUUUUUUAGUGCAAAAGCAAAAAUAAAAAUUAGGGACAAGAAGACCCUAUGAAUUUUUUAUUAAAUUUUAUAAAACUUUAUAUAAAAUUUAAUUUAAUUGGGGUGAUAGAAAAAGAAUAAAUAUCUUUUUUUAAAAGAAAAUUGGUUCCGUUCUUAGCGAUUAAAUGAAAAAAAUACUCUAGGGAUAACAGCGUAAUAAUUUUGGAUAGUUCAUAUAGAUAAAAUAGUUUGCGACCUCGAUGU